RNAcentral lists this ribosomal RNA (60 nucleotides) under Sphingomonas gei. RNAcentral describes it as "partial 23S ribosomal RNA". Lineage: Bacteria; Pseudomonadati; Pseudomonadota; Alphaproteobacteria; Sphingomonadales; Sphingomonadaceae. The record is from RNAcentral.
GGAUGUGGAAGUACGGUAACGUAUGGAGCUAACCAGUACUAAUUGUCCUAUUCGCGCUUG